UGCAGUCGAGCGGACAGAAGGGAGCUUGCUCCCGGAUGUUAGCGGCGGACGGGUGAGUAACACGUGGGUAACCUGCCUGUAAGACUGGGAUAACUCCGGGAAACCGGAGCUAAUACCGGAUAGUUCCUUGAACCGCAUGGUUCAAGGAUGAAAGACGGUUUCGGCUGUCACUUACAGAUGGACCCGCGGCGCAUUAGCUAGUUGGUGGGGUAAUGGCUCACCAAGGCGACGAUGCGUAGCCGACCUGAGAGGGUGAUCGGCCACACUGGGACUGAGACACGGCCCAGACUCAUACGGGAGGCAGCAGUAGGGAAUCUUCCGCAAUGGACGAAAGUCUGACGGAGCAACGCCGCGUGAGUGAUGAAGGUUUUCGGAUCGUAAAGCUCUGUUGUUAGGGAAGAACAAGUGCGAGAGUAACUGCUCGCACCUUGACGGUACCUAACCAGAAAGCCACGGCUAACUACGUGCCAGCAGCCGCGGUAAUACGUAGGUGGCAAGCGUUGUCCGGAAUUAUUGGGCGUAAAGGGCUCGCAGGCGGUUUCUUAAGUCUGAUGUGAAAGCCCCCGGCUCAACCGGGGAGGGUCAUUGGAAACUGGGAAACUUGAGUGCAGAAGAGGAGAGUGGAAUUCCACGUGUAGCGGUGAAAUGCGUAGAGAUGUGGAGGAACACCAGUGGCGAAGGCGACUCUCUGGUCUGUAACUGACGCUGAGGAGCGAAAGCGUGGGGAGCGAACAGGAUUAGAUACCCUGUAGUCACGCCGUAAACGAUGAGUGCUAAGUGUUAGGGGGUUUCCGCCCCUUAGUGCUGCAGCUAACGCAUUAAGCACUCCGCCUGGGGAGUACGGUCGCAAGACUGAAACUCAAAGGAAUUGACGGGGGCCCGCACAAGCGGUGGAGCAUGUGGUUUAAUUCGAAGCAACGCGAAGAACCUUACCAGGUCUUGACAUCCUCUGACAACCCUAGAGAUAGGGCUUUCCCUUCGGGGACAGAGUGACAGGUGGUGCAUGGUUGUCGUCAGCUCGUGUCGUGAGAUGUUGGGUUAAGUCCCGCAACGAGCGCAACCCUUGAUCUUAGUUGCCAGCAUUCAGUUGGGCACUCUAAGGUGACUGCCGGUGACAAACCGGAGGAAGGUGGGGAUGACGUCAAAUCAUCAUGCCCCUUAUGACCUGGGCUACACACGUGCUACAAUGGACAGAACAAAGGGCUGCAAGACCGCAAGGUUUAGCCAAUCCCAUAAAUCUGUUCUCAGUUCGGAUCGCAGUCUGCAACUCGACUGCGUGAAGCUGGAAUCGCUAGUAAUCGCGGAUCAGCAUGCCGCGGUGAAUACGUUCCCGGGCCUUGUACACACCGCCCGUCACACCACGAGAGUUUGCAACACCCGAAGUCGGUGAGGUAACCUUU
RNAcentral lists this ribosomal RNA (1400 nucleotides) under Bacillus safensis. Its description in RNAcentral is "bacterial SSU rRNA". It matches the Rfam family "Bacterial small subunit ribosomal RNA". The record is from RNAcentral. Lineage: Bacteria; Bacillati; Bacillota; Bacilli; Caryophanales; Bacillaceae.